This 22-nucleotide microRNA is filed under the name Ovis aries (sheep). RNAcentral describes it as "miRNA 13". The record is from RNAcentral. Lineage: Eukaryota; Metazoa; Chordata; Mammalia; Artiodactyla; Bovidae.
UCUGAGACAGGAGGGCAGGUGG